Regulatory RNA element from Ruminococcaceae bacterium D16, 186 nucleotides. It matches the Rfam family "Lysine riboswitch aptamer". Rfam says of the family: Riboswitches are metabolite binding domains within certain messenger RNAs that serve as precision sensors for their corresponding targets. Allosteric rearrangement of mRNA structure is mediated by ligand binding, and this results in modulation of gene expression. The record is from Rfam. NCBI's taxonomy places the organism in Bacteria, Bacillati, Bacillota, Clostridia, Eubacteriales, Oscillospiraceae.
CUGCAAGAUAGAGGCGCGGCUGACAUGAGUAAGCGUGGCUAGGGAGCCGGUUCCCGUCUGAGCCAUGUCCAAAGGGAAGGCCGCCGAAGGGUCCCUUCUGCCGGAGGAAGGGGGCUCUGGUCGCUUGGUUAACAGCCCUGUGACUGUCAUCUGGGCGGGCUGCCCAGGUGGAGCGCUGUCUGCUUU